AUUCCUAUUAUCUAAUAUUAAAUCUAAAAUUAAAACUAAAAUCAUGAGGAAUAGAGAAAUACCUCUAGGGUAACUAGAUUACCCUGCAGAUGAUCGCAGCAAUGCUCGAGAUUCUAAAAUAGCCACACAGUCGCCUAACCUCUAUCGAUAUCUACUUGAGGAGGAUCUAGAUUUUCUUCUCCUCAUAAAUUUUUUCUCCAAAAAUUAGAUCUGGAUC
RNAcentral lists this long non-coding RNA (217 nucleotides) under Elaeis guineensis (African oil palm). RNAcentral's name for it is "long non-coding RNA (EGUI_LNC062778)". The record is from RNAcentral. Lineage: Eukaryota; Viridiplantae; Streptophyta; Magnoliopsida; Arecales; Arecaceae.